AUGGCUCAGUGAGGCCUUGGGAUUGGCCAGGGGAGAUGGGCAACCAUCACCCCAGGCCGAAAACUUGGUCAAACUUGGUCAUUUAGAGGAAGUAAAAGUCGUAACAAGGUUUCUGAUCCUUCCAAUGGUGAACGUCAUUCAGGAAGCCUUUGUCGCCUGAAAGGGUGUGCAUACCGCGACUAUAAACAAUGUAAGUAUGUCAAGGACAAGUCGGGGGCCUAUCUAGGCCUCCGGCGACGCUGUCAAAUUGCGGGGAGUCCCUUAGAGCUUUCACUACUAAGCGGUGUCUGAAAGGUCACCGUGGCCAGGGUAAUUCCCUCGGGUACAGUCACAACGUGAAAGAUUGGGUAACCUGCAGCCAAGUCCUGUCGCCUAAAGAGAGUUGGUCCCGGACUGCUUUCUUACGGGUGUGGAUGCUGUUCACAGGCCAAAUGGUAGCGGGUUCGGCUGUGGCCGGGCUCAAGAUAUGGUCGGUCCCGCGAGGAAACUUGUGGGGAGUUCGCCGGGUUAAUGGGGCUCUCGUCGUGCGAGUUGCACCUAAACCAGUAACAAGAAAAUAAACGUUCCGUAGGUGAACCUGCGGAAGGAUCAUUACCGAGUUAGGGCCCCGACCGCCGGGGCCUGACCUCCCAACCCUGUGUCUAUGUAUACCUGUACGUGUUGCUUCGGCCGACCGGUGGUCUCUCUCUCGCCUUUGGGCGGGGGUGGUUCACCGCCCCGGGGGGGAAAAGUCAUGAACCCCCCUCUUGGGACAGUGCCGGCCGAUGGCCUAACCCAAAACUCUUCACCACAAAAUAUGAACUGAAUCUGUCUUCUCUCUGGUUCUCACCGGGGAGUGAAACAAAAUAAUCAAAAACUUUCAACAACGGAUCUCUUGGUUCUGGCAUCGAUGAAGAACGCAGCGAAAUGCGAUAAGUAAUGCGAAUUGCAGAAUUUCCGUGAGUCAUCGAAUCUUUGAACGCACAUUGCGCCCUUUGGUAUUCCGAAGGGCAUGCCUGUUCGAGCGUCAUUAUCCUCCCCUGAAACCCCCGAUCAUGGGGGUUUGGUGUUGGACCGCGUUGGGGGCUCAUCGUUCCCCCAACUGGUCUUAAAGGCAGUAACGGCGUCCAUGGGACCCUCCUCGCACUGAGCUUUUUCCACGAAGCACGCCUGGAGUCGCAAGGUCCUAGGGGCACGGUCGGCCCUGUGUGGGAUAAACACCGCACAGCAGAGCCUUUUUUUCUCAGGUUGACCUCGGAUCAGGUAGGAAUACCCGCUGAACUUAAGCAUAUCAAUAAGCGGAGGAAAAGAAACCAACAGGGAUUGCCUCAGUAACGGCGAGUGAAGCGGCAACAGCUCAAAUUUGAAAUCUGGCCCCUCCCGGGUCCGAGUUGUAAUUUGUAGAGGAUGUUUUGGGCACCGCCUCGGGUUAAAUUUCUUGGAACAGAAUGUCAAAGAGGGUGAGAGUCCCGUCUUGGCCCGCGGUAGGACCUAUGUAAAACUCCUUCGACGAGUCGACUUGUUUGGGAAUGCAGGUCAAAAUGGGUGGUAAAUUUCAUCUAAAGCUAAAUAUUGGCCAGAGACCGAUAGCGCACAAGUAGAGUGAUCGAAAGAUGAAAAGCACUUUGAAAAGAGAGUUAAACAGUAUGUGAAAUUGUUGAAAGGGAAGCGCUGGCAACCAGACUCGAGCGCGGUGCUCCCCUAGGCUUCUGCCUGGGCUACUUCACCGUGACCGGGCCAUCAUCAGUUUUGGGGGUCGGUCAAAGGCCCGGGGAAUGUAUCCUCCCCUCCGGGGGAGGACUUAUAGCCCCGGGCGUCAUGCGGCCUCCCGGGACUGAGGAACGCGCUUCGGCGAGGAUGAUGGCGUAAUGGUUGUCAGCGACCCGUCUUGAAACACGGACCAAGGAGUCUAACAUCUAUGCGAGUGUUCGGGUGUCAAACCCCUGCGCGGAAUGAAAGUGAACGGAGGUAGGAAGGCCUGAGCCUGCACUAUCGACCGAUCCUGAUGUCUUCGGAUGGAUUUGAGUAAGAGCAUAGCUGUUGGGACCCGAAAGAUGGUGAACUAUGCGUGAAUAGGGUGAAGCCAGAGGAAACUCUGGUGGAGGCUCGCAGCGGUUCUGACGUGCAAAUCGAUCGUCAAAUUUGCGUAUAGGGGCGAAAGACUAAUCGAACCAU
RNAcentral lists this non-coding RNA (2154 nucleotides) under Chaetothyriales sp. MP-2014. RNAcentral describes it as "eukaryotic LSU rRNA". The stretch from base 1229 to 2154 matches the Rfam family "Eukaryotic large subunit ribosomal RNA", at positions 1 to 943 of the family's 3401-position model. Lineage: Eukaryota; Fungi; Ascomycota; Eurotiomycetes; Chaetothyriales. The record is from RNAcentral.